Molecule: non-coding RNA, 2247 nt
Organism: Nicotiana tabacum (common tobacco)
Lineage: Eukaryota; Viridiplantae; Streptophyta; Magnoliopsida; Solanales; Solanaceae
Source: RefSeq, a predicted model, not a curated record
AAUAGAAAUACUCAAUUUGGAAGCUUUAGGUUGAAGAGCUAAUAAAUGUUUGACUUUUUUGUAAACGAUCUCGGAUUUGCAUUUUGAUGAUUCCAAUAGGUUUUUAUGGUAACUUUGUACUUGGAAUUGGUCUACUUUGUCAUUUAGGACUUGUGUGCAAGCUGUGGUAUUAUUCCGGGUUUGUUUGGUAGGAAUAAGAUGCUUGGUUCUAAUUUUGGAAGCUCUUGAGUUUCAUUAUGAUUUUGAUGUGUUUUGGUAUUUGAUUCGUAAUUGUAUAUGUUAUUUCAAUGAUCAAAGCAUAUGAGUGAGUUCAUAUGAGGUUUAUGUACUUGUUGGUAUGAUUGAACGGGGUUCUGAGGGGCCCGGGAGAGUUUUUGAUUGAUUUUGGAUUGUUUUUGCUAAGUUGAGUUGGGCUAGUUCUGGUGUUCUCGCAUUUUUUGAUGAGGAGGUCGCAAAUGUGACCAUCGUAUUUGCGAUUCAUGGCUUUUGGGUAUGGGCCUCCAAUUUUCGUGGAUUUUGUCGCAUUUGCGACUGGUCACCUGGGGAGGGGCUUCACAUUUUCUAAGCAUUUUAUCGCAAAUACGAUAUCUGCAAGGUCUGUCAAGGGUCGCUUUUGCGAACCCUUGGUCACAAAUGCAUCAUCUAUAGUUGGUUAUAUGCUGUGUAUUUCAGGAUAUAGUCUCAUUUUAUCACAUUUUGUGCCCUAGACUCGGUAGGGGGCUAUUUUUGGAGGGGAUUUUCAUACAUAACUAUGGGGUAUGUGAUUUUGACUCAACUUUAAUAUUAUAGCUUGACUACGUAUGGAUUUUAACAUCAAAAUCAUGAAAUUUGAAGAGAAGUUUUGGAAUUUUUUACUAUAUUUUGAAGAAUGAAAAUUUGAAAUUUGAGAGUUUAAUUGGAUUCAAUUUUUAAAAUUAAUCUUAUAUUUUGACUCAUAGAGUUAUGAGUAGUCAAUAUCUACCUUUCAACUAGGGUUAUAAUCAGGCUAGCCCGGAGUUGACUUUUGUUUACUUUUGAGAAUUGGGUAAAGAUUGCAACUUUAUUAAUUGAAAUUGAUUCUUUUGCAUUGGUUGAUGUUCUCGAGUAAUGUUUUUCCAAAUUUUGACCGGACGGAGGUGAAUUUAUGAGGUAAAGACUAUUUUUGAGUAUUGAUUUGGCUUGUUUGAGGUAAGUGUCUUGCCUAGCUUUGGUUGAUAGAAUUUUUCUACUAGUUGAUGUUGUUUUCUACAUGGAGGGGUGAUAUAUAUACGAGGUAACGAGCGUAUAUAUAUGUGUCAUAGAUAUUCAUUCUCGGGAUAGAUUCUAGUUUACUCAAUGCCUUAUAUAGUUGUACAUUUUACUUGAUCCAAUGUGUUACUCCUAUUAAAUUAAUCGACUUCGUGAGUAGUAUAAACCAUGCUAGAGGAAUAUUGAGGCUAUUGGUACUUUAUGUUGAACAUGAUGAAUAAAUCUUGAGACUCAUGCCAUAUUUGUCUUGGGGAUAGACACACGUAGGUUAUGAAUACAUAUCUGGACUUGAUCUUAUAAUGUGUCUUGAUUGACAUGUGUACAGUAUGUUAUGUAUAUGUGAUACUUUGAACGACUACUUGGACUUAGUUUUUAUACUUGAUUUAACCAUGAUUAUGCUUUAUUCACACUUUUGUUGUUAUCAUGUCCUUGUGCCAUUUUUGAGGAGUUAUGAGAAUAUGCCUUUUGAUCAUAAUUUGUUAUUUUCAUUUCUAUGUCAUUGUGGCACAUGUUGACAUGUUGCAAAGAUUGAUUUUAGAGGCGCAUGCGACGACAUAAGGGAGGCAUUUCAUUUGUGAUGAGCAUGCGGCGAGAUAAGAGUGGCUAGAUGCGCGUGCAACACAAGGCUUGUGUUUAUUGAUGCUCAUGUGGCGAGAUAAGGGUGGCUUAUGCACGUGUAGCAAUAUAAGGGGAAAUAUUCAUUGUGAUGCUGACGCGGCGAAAUAAGGAUGGCAUUAUGGGGACGUUAUGUGAUAGCCCGAGGGCAAUUUUUAUUGAUUAUGCAUGUGCGGUAGUACAAGAGAUUUUGGGUAGUUGUAAAGAGGGAGCUUUGAUUGAAGGCGUGCCCACAUGCCGAAUUCAUGCUAAUUGUUGUUCCUGACAGCAUAUGAUUUUACUUCUAUUUAUGUAAUUUUCAAUCAGAUGUUGUAUUUAAAUUAUUUCACCAGCUUUGUAAAUCUAAAUCAUAGUGGCUCAUGACUUGUAAUACUAGUUCUUGGGGUAGUUGUAUAUUGAAUUCUA